GACGAAGGUGGCUAGCGUUGUUCGGAAUCACUGGGCUUAAAGCGCAUGUAGGCGUCCUGUUAAGUGCCUUGUGAAAUCCCUCGGCUCAACCGAGGAACUGCUUGGCAUACUGGCAGGAUUGAGGCAGGUAUGGGUGCAUGGAACUCUUGGUGGAGCGGUGAAAUGCGUAGAUAUCAAGAGGAACGCCGGAGGUGAAGACGAUGCACUGGGCCUGUCCUGACGCUGAGAUGCGAAAGCCAGGGGAGCAAACGGG
Molecule: ribosomal RNA, 253 nt
Filed under: uncultured bacterium
Lineage: Bacteria
Description: partial 16S ribosomal RNA
Rfam family: Bacterial small subunit ribosomal RNA
Source: RNAcentral